Molecule: ribosomal RNA, 492 nt
Filed under: uncultured bacterium
Lineage: Bacteria
Description: partial 16S ribosomal RNA
Rfam family: Bacterial small subunit ribosomal RNA
Source: RNAcentral
AGUGAACGCUGGCGGUAGGCCUAACACUUGCAAGUCGAACGGCAGCACAGUAAGAGCUUGCUCUUACGGGUGGCGAGUGGCGGACGGGUGAGGAAUACAUCGGAAUCUACUUUUUCGUGGGGGAUAACGUAGGGAAACUUACGCUAAUACCGCAUACGACCUACGGGUGAAAGCAGGGGAUCUUCGGACCUUGCGCGAUUGAAUGAGCCGAUGUCGGAUUAGCUAGUUGGCGGGGUAAAGGCCCACCAAGGCGACGAUCCGUAGCUGGUCUGAGAGGAUGAGCGGCCACACUGGAACUGAGACACGGUCCAGACUCCUACGGGAGGCAGCAGUGGGGAAUAUUGGACAAUGGGCGCAAGCCUGAUCCAGCCAUGCCGCGUGGGUGAAGAAGGCCUUCGGGUUGUAAAGCCCUUUUGUUGGGAAAGAAAAGCAGCAGGUUAAUACCCCGCUGUUCUGACGGUACCCAAAGAAUAAGCACCGGCUAACUUCGUG